GAUGAACGCUGGCGGCGUGCCUAAUACAUGCAAGUCGAGCGAACAGACGAGGGGCUUGCUCCUCUGACGUUAGCGGCGGACGGGUGAGUAACACGUGGAUAACCUACCUAUAAGACUGGGAUAACUUCGGGAAACCGGAGCUAAUACCGGAUAAUAUAUUGAACCGCAUGGUUCAAUAGUGAAAGACGGUUUUGCUGUCACUUAUAGAUGGAUCCGCGCCGCAUUAGCUAGUUGGUAAGGUAACAGCUUACCAAGGCAACGAUGCGUAGCCGACCUGAGAGGGUGAUCGGCCACACUGGAACUGAGACACGGUCCAGACUCCUACGGGAGGCAGCAGUAGGGAAUCUUCCGCAAUGGGCGAAAGCCUGACGGAGCAACGCCGCGUGAGUGAUGAAGGUCUUCGGAUCGUAAAACUCUGUUAUUAGGGAAGAACAAAUGUGUAAGUAACUAUGCACGUCUUGACGGUACCUAAUCAGAAAGCCACGGCUAACUACGUG
This 497-nucleotide ribosomal RNA is filed under the name uncultured bacterium. RNAcentral's name for it is "partial 16S ribosomal RNA". It matches the Rfam family "Bacterial small subunit ribosomal RNA", at positions 28 to 507 of the family's 1533-position model. The record is from RNAcentral.